This 692-nucleotide ribosomal RNA is filed under the name uncultured fungus. Its description in RNAcentral is "eukaryotic LSU rRNA". The stretch from base 221 to 374 matches the Rfam family "5.8S ribosomal RNA". The record is from RNAcentral. Lineage: Eukaryota; Fungi.
UUUAAAAAAUUUUACUUUUGCAUUGUGCACUCCUGAAAUCUUCAUCUUCAUCCACUUGUGCACAAUGUAGACGAAAGAGUCAAUGAAGUAAUGAAAUGAAUUUCGUUUAGUGAAUUAAUUUUUGUUGCUUUUUGUUGCUUUUUGUCUACGAUUUUUGUCAUAUACAAUUAUCAGUUAUUGAAUGGGUGAUUGGCUUUAUUGAAAGUCAAAAAUUUGAUACAACUUUCAACAAUGGAUUUCUUGGUUCUCGCAUCGAUGAAGAACGCAGCGAAUUGCGAUAUGUAAUGUGAAUUGCAGAAUUCAGUGAAUCAUCGAAUCUUUGAACGCAUCUUGCACUCUUUGGUCUUCCAAAGGGUAUGCCUGUUUGAGUAUCAUUAAUAAUAUCAAUACAAAUCAAAUCAAUCAAAUCAACUUGAUAGUUUGAUAUGUGUUUGGACGUUGAAGGUAAUGCUGGCCCUUGCGGUUAGCUCCUUUUAAAUAAAUUAGCAGAACCAUUUUAGGACUGGCUUCAGUUUGAUAAUGAACAUUUUAUCGACGCUGUUGCUUGUUACUUUUUGUUCAGCUGAUAAUUGUCCUUUUUUGGACUGUCUUUUAAAAGACAUCUAAUUCUUUAACUGAUCUCAAAUCAGGUAGGAUUACCCGCUGAACUUAAGCAUAUCAAUAAGCGGAGGAAAAGAAACUAACAAGGAUUC